AUGACCCAAUUGUGUGUAUAUUCAAUUAGGAUUUUAAAGGAGAGUAUAACAUUUUAGGUGUAUUCAAUUAGAAAUUGAUUUUAAAAGAUUUUAAAGAUGGGGAAUUCAAGGGAGUUUGAGAGAUUUCGUAAUGUAUUUUAUGCAUUCUCAAAUCUUACCUCUCUCCUUGAAAAUUUGAAGAAAUUCACACAAAAUAUGACAUAAAUUUAUUAAAUUCUAUCAAAAUUCAUGAAUUUAUAAAUCAUUAAAAUCUUUAAAGAUCUCAAUUGAAUACACCCCCGCAUAAGCUAAAAAAGAAAGAAUUGAUGCUUCCCCGGAUCUUAUAAAAGCAUUUCAAUCAUGCUCUAGUUUAUGUUAAUUUUCCGCUAAAAUGACAUUUGGAACUCCUUGCAAAACUAUUCCAACCAUAUUUUGUAGUUUGCAGAUUUAUAAUGAUUGAAAGCCAAUAAAAAUAAGACGUAUCAAAAUGUGAGCAUUCAUCAUAAAAAUCAUUUGUCAAUAGAAGGGAGAAUCCUACGAUUAAUUAUUCAAGAUGCUUCUCUUGGAUGCCACUUGGAUCCUCACCAAUGACAUGACUUGAUAAUAAUACAACAUUAUAUCAUCUUGCAUUUUAAGUUGUCCCAACAACGAAAUAGACUUUCGAUGAUUGCUCCAGUGGUUAAAGUAUGUCUCUUCAACCGAAUGAGGAUCCUCUAUGGAUCCUCUUUGUGAGGAUUCAGAGUAUUCUUUAAUCUUAUCCGUUUAUCAUAAAUUGUGCUGUCAGUUUUCGUCAGGUAUUAUUUGUGUUCAAUUGUAAAUAAAAAUUUUAAAAUAAUUUUUUACCGCACGAUAUACGAUGAGUGAAUACUAUUAAUGAAUUUCCGGGAUCCUCACAAAGAGGAUCCGGAGAGAAUUACGUUCCGAAUUCAAAUUUUCUAUCAAUAGACUUUCGGGUUUCGACCCACUAAAUGA
RNAcentral lists this small RNA (951 nucleotides) under Malus domestica (apple). Its description in RNAcentral is "sRNA MD06G0099300". Lineage: Eukaryota; Viridiplantae; Streptophyta; Magnoliopsida; Rosales; Rosaceae. The record is from RNAcentral.